Molecule: small nucleolar RNA, 129 nt
Filed under: Suricata suricatta (meerkat)
Lineage: Eukaryota; Metazoa; Chordata; Mammalia; Carnivora; Herpestidae
Description: Small nucleolar RNA SNORA32 (ENSSSUG00005006462.1)
Rfam family: Small nucleolar RNA SNORA32
About the family: ACA32 is a member of the H/ACA class of snoRNA that guide the sites of modification of uridines to pseudouridines.
Source: Rfam by way of RNAcentral
UGGUCAUUACCAAGGCUUUGGGAAUGCAGUUUCUCAUUUGCUGUGGACAUGACCACAAAAAAAUUUUCCACUAGGCUUCCUUUCUUUAUGCUACUUUGGUAGCAUUAAUUCAGCUUAUUGGGAACAUUU